UACAGGGGGGGGCAAGCGUUGUUCGGAAUUACUGGGCGUAAAGGGCUCGUAGGCGGCCAACUAAGUCACACGUGAAAUCCCCAGGCUUAACCUGGGAACUGCGUGUGAUACUGGAUGGCUUGAAUUCGGGAGAGGGAUGCAGAAUUCCAGGUGUAGCGGUGAAAUGCGUAGAUAUCUGGAGGAAUACCGGUGGCGAAGGCGGCAUCCUGGACCGACAUUGACGCUGAGGAGCGAAAGCUAGGGGAGCAAACGGG
Molecule: ribosomal RNA, 254 nt
Filed under: uncultured bacterium
Lineage: Bacteria
Description: partial 16S ribosomal RNA
Rfam family: Bacterial small subunit ribosomal RNA
Source: RNAcentral